This 460-nucleotide ribosomal RNA is filed under the name uncultured bacterium. RNAcentral's name for it is "partial 16S ribosomal RNA". It matches the Rfam family "Bacterial small subunit ribosomal RNA", at positions 338 to 795 of the family's 1533-position model. The record is from RNAcentral.
CCUACGGGAGGCAGCAGUGAGGAAUAUUGGUCAAUGGGCGAGAGCCUGAACCAGCCAAGUCGCGUGAAGGAUGACGGCCCUACGGGUUGUAAACUUCUUUUGUCAGGGAGCAAUUGGGUCCACGCGUGGGCUUAGCGAGAGUACCUGAAGAAAAAGCAUCGGCUAACUCGGUGCCAGCAGCCGCGGUAAUACGGAGGAUGCGAGCGUUAUCCGGUUUUAUUGGGGUUAAAGGGUGCGUAGGCGGAAUAUCAAGUCAGCGGUAAAAAUUCGGGGCUCAACCCCGUCGUGCCGUUGAAAAUGAUGGUCUUGAGUGGGCGAGAAGUAUGCGGAAUGCGUGGUGUAGCGGUGAAAUGCAUAGAUAUCACGCAGAACUCCGAUUGCGAAGGCAGCAUACCGGCGCCCAACUGACGCUGAAGCACGAAAGCGUGGGUAUCGAACAGGAUUAGAUACCCCAGUAGUC